UUAAUGAACCCUUCGGGGAGAAUUAAAGUGGAUUAGUGGCGAACGGGUGAGUAACGCGUGAGUAACCUGCCUUACACAAGGGGAUAGCCUUUGGAAACGAAGAAUAAUACCCUAUAAAACCAUAAAAGCACAUGCAAUUAUGGUCAAAGUGAUAGCGGUGUAAGAUGGACUUGCGUCUGAUUAGCUAGUUGGCGAGAUAAAAGCCCACCAAGGCAACGACCAGUAGCCGGCUUGAGAGAGUGUACGGCCACAUUGGGACUGAGACACGGCCCAGACUCCUACGGGAGGCAGCAGUGGGGAAUUUUGCACAAUGGGGGAAACCCUGAUGCAGCGACGCCGCGUGAUUUAGAAGGCCUUCGGGUUGUAAAAAUCUUUUGUAUAGGAAGAAAAUGACAGUACUAUACGAAUAAGGUCCGGCUAAUUACGUGCCAGCAGCCGCGGUAAUACGUAAGGACCGAGCGUUGUCCGGAAUCAUUGGGCGUAAAGGGUACGUAGGCGGCUAGAAAAGUUAGAAGUCAAAGGCUAUAGCUCAACUAUAGUAAGCUUCUAAAACUAUUUAGCUUGAGAGAUGGAAGGGACAGUGGAAUUCCUAGUGUAGCGGUGGAAUGCGCAGAUAUUAGGAGGAAUACCGGUGGCGAAGGCGACUUUCUGGCCAUUUUCUGACGCUGAGGUACGAAAGCGUGGGUAGCAAACAGGAUUAGAUACCCUGGUAGUCCACGCCGUAAACGAUG
This 731-nucleotide ribosomal RNA is filed under the name uncultured Clostridia bacterium. RNAcentral describes it as "bacterial SSU rRNA". It matches the Rfam family "Bacterial small subunit ribosomal RNA", at positions 68 to 811 of the family's 1533-position model. Lineage: Bacteria; Bacillati; Bacillota; Clostridia. The record is from RNAcentral.